This 376-nucleotide ribosomal RNA is filed under the name uncultured bacterium. RNAcentral describes it as "bacterial SSU rRNA". It matches the Rfam family "Bacterial small subunit ribosomal RNA", at positions 521 to 896 of the family's 1533-position model. The record is from RNAcentral.
UAAGACGAAGGUGGCGAGCGUUGUUCGGAAUCACUGGGCAUAAAGCGCACGUAGGCGGCGACGUAAGUCGGGUGUGAAAUCCCUCGGCCCAACCGAGGAACUGCGCCCGAUACUGCGUUGCUUGAGGAUCAGAGGGGUGCACGGAAUUUCCGGUGGAGCGGUGAAAUGCGUUGAUAUCGGAAGGAACGUCGGCGGCGAAAGCGGUGCACUGGCUGAUUUCUGACGCUGAGGUGCGAAAGCCAGGGGAGCAAACGGGAUUAGAUACCCCGGUAGUCCUGGCCGUAAACGAUGGGUACUAGGUAGGGGGGUGCCAAACGCCUCUCUGCUGGAGCGAAUGUAUUAAGUACCCCGCCUGGGAAGUACAGUCGCAAGGCUG